RNAcentral lists this ribosomal RNA (301 nucleotides) under uncultured bacterium. RNAcentral describes it as "partial 16S ribosomal RNA". It matches the Rfam family "Bacterial small subunit ribosomal RNA", at positions 509 to 807 of the family's 1533-position model. The record is from RNAcentral.
CAGCCGCCACGGUAAAACAGAGGGUGCGAGCGUUAAUCGGAUUUACUGGGCGUAAAGCGUGCGCAGGCGGUUAUAUAAGACAGAUGUGAAAUCCCCGGGCUCAACCUGGGAACUGCAUUUGUGACUGUAUAGCUAGAGUACGGCAGAGGGGGAUGGAAUUCCGCGUGUAGCAGUGAAAUGCGUAGAUAUGCGGAGGAACACCGAUGGCGAAGGCAAUCCCCUGGGCCUGUACUGACGCUCAUGCACGAAAGCGUGGGGAGCAAACAGGAUUAGAUACCCCAGUAGUCCCUGUCUCUUAUAC